AAUCGCGGUUUGUACGUCUGCAAUGGUUCUGGAAGCGAUUGGUUGAACAAUUGAAAAUUUUGAUAAUUUGUCUACACAAGUCAAGUACGACGUCGGUUUUUUUUAACAAGUCCAGUCCAAUUAUUCCGUCAAACGUUGUUAAGUUCGUGUUGUACCCAUGGA
Molecule: long non-coding RNA, 162 nt
Organism: Drosophila subpulchrella
Lineage: Eukaryota; Metazoa; Arthropoda; Insecta; Diptera; Drosophilidae
Exons: 3
Source: RefSeq, a predicted model, not a curated record